RNAcentral lists this ribosomal RNA (683 nucleotides) under Escherichia coli. RNAcentral's name for it is "partial 23S ribosomal RNA". It matches the Rfam family "Bacterial large subunit ribosomal RNA", at positions 555 to 1239 of the family's 2925-position model. The record is from RNAcentral. Lineage: Bacteria; Pseudomonadati; Pseudomonadota; Gammaproteobacteria; Enterobacterales; Enterobacteriaceae.
ACCGUGUACGUACAAGCAGUGGGAGCCUCUUUUAUGGGGUGACUGCGUACCUUUUGUAUAAUGGGUCAGCGACUUAUAUUCUGUAGCAAGGUUAACCGAAUAGGGGAGCCGAAGGGAAACCGAGUCUUAACCGGGCGUUAAGUUGCAGGGUAUAGACCCGAAACCCGGUGAUCUAGCCAUGGGCAGGUUGAAGGUUGGGUAACACUAACUGGAGGACCGAACCGACUAAUGUUGAAAAAUUAGCGGAUGACUUGUGGCUGGGGGUGAAAGGCCAAUCAAACCGGGAGAUAGCUGGUUCUCCCCGAAAGCUAUUUAGGUAGCGCCUCGUGAAUUCAUCUCCGGGGGUAGAGCACUGUUUCGGCAAGGGGGUCAUCCCGACUUACCAACCCGAUGCAAACUGCGAAUACCGGAGAAUGUUAUCACGGGAGACACACGGCGGGUGCUAACGUCCGUCGUGAAGAGGGAAACAACCCAGACCGCCAGCUAAGGUCCCAAAGUCAUGGUUAAGUGGGAAACGAUGUGGGAAGGCCCAGACAGCCAGGAUGUUGGCUUAGAAGCAGCCAUCAUUUAAAGAAAGCGUAAUAGCUCACUGGUCGAGUCGGCCUGCGCGGAAGAUGUAACGGGGCUAAACCAUGCACCGAAGCUGCGGCAGCGACACUGUGUGUUGUUGGGUAGGGGAGCGU